GAUGAACGCUGGCGGCGUGCUUAACACAUGCAAGUCGAACGGUGAAGGCGGAGCUUGCUCUGCUGGAUCAGUGGCGAACGGGUGAGUAACACGUGAGCAAUCUGCCCCUGACUCUGGGAUAAGCGCUGGAAACGGCGUCUAAUACUGGAUACGAGCUGCGAAGGCAUCUUCAGCAGCUGGAAAGAAUUUCGGUCAGGGAUGAGCUCGCGGCCUAUCAGCUUGUUGGUGAGGUAAUGGCUCACCAAGGCGUCGACGGGUAGCCGGCCUGAGAGGGUGACCGGCCACACUGGGACUGAGACACGGCCCAGACUCCUACGGGAGGCAGCAGUGGGGAAUAUUGCACAAUGGGCGAAAGCCUGAUGUAGCAACGCCGCGUGAGGGACGACGGCCUUCGGGUUGUAAACCUCUUUUAGCAGGGAAGAAGCGAAAGUGACGGUACCUGCAGAAAAAGCGCCGGCUAACUACGUG
RNAcentral lists this ribosomal RNA (468 nucleotides) under uncultured bacterium. RNAcentral describes it as "partial 16S ribosomal RNA". It matches the Rfam family "Bacterial small subunit ribosomal RNA", at positions 28 to 507 of the family's 1533-position model. The record is from RNAcentral.